CCUACGGGGGGCUGCAGUGGGGAAUAUUGCACAAUGGGGGAAACCCUGAUGCAGCAACGCCGCGUGAGCGAUGAAGGCCUUCGGGUCGUAAAGCUCUGUCCUAAGGGAAGAAUACUGACGGUACCUUAGGAGGAAGCCCCGGCUAACUACGUGCCAGCAGCCGCGGUAACACGUAGGGGGCUAGCGGUAUCCGGAAUUACUGGGCGUAAGGGGUGCGUAGGCGGCCCUUCAAGGCAGAGGUGAAAGGCUACGUCUCAACCGUAGUAAGCCUUUGGAACUGUAGGGCUUGAGUGCAGGAGGGGAGAGUGGUAUUCUCAGUGUCGCGGUGAAAUGCGGAGAUAAUAGGAAGAACACCAGUGGCGAAAGCGGCUUUCUGGACUGUAACUGACGCUGAGGCACGAAAGCGUGGGGAGCGAACAGGAUUAGAUACCCGAGUAGUC
RNAcentral lists this ribosomal RNA (440 nucleotides) under uncultured bacterium. RNAcentral describes it as "bacterial SSU rRNA". It matches the Rfam family "Bacterial small subunit ribosomal RNA", at positions 338 to 795 of the family's 1533-position model. The record is from RNAcentral.